AGGGGUGGUUGGGGCUGUUCCUUCACGGGGGCAGUCUCGUCUACUGCGGGUUAACCGUGCCAAUCGUCUUCGUGCUGGGGAUCGGGGCUUGCAACUCAGCCCCGUGAACGAGGAAUUCCGAGUAGGCGUCCGUCAUCAGCUGGCGCCGAUUAA
Molecule: ribosomal RNA, 153 nt
Filed under: Lottia gigantea (owl limpet)
Lineage: Eukaryota; Metazoa; Mollusca; Gastropoda; Lottiidae
Description: eukaryotic small subunit ribosomal RNA
Rfam family: Eukaryotic small subunit ribosomal RNA
Source: RNAcentral